RNAcentral lists this unclassified non-coding RNA (253 nucleotides) under uncultured Planctomycetales bacterium. Its description in RNAcentral is "contains 16S-23S intergenic spacer region". It matches the Rfam family "Bacterial small subunit ribosomal RNA", at positions 524 to 776 of the family's 1533-position model. Lineage: Bacteria; Pseudomonadati; Planctomycetota; Planctomycetia; Planctomycetales. The record is from RNAcentral.
UACGAACUGUGCGAACGUUAUUCGGAAUCACUGGGCUUACAGGGUGUGUAGGCGGCCUGUUAAGCAGGGUGUGAAAUCCUCCGGCUCAACCGGGGAAUGGCGCUCUGGACUGGCAGGCUUGAGUGCGCUAGGGGUGUGUGGAACUUCCAGUGGAGCGGUGAAAUGUGUUGAUAUUGGAAGGAACACCGGUGGCGAAAGCGACACACUGGGGCGUAACUGACGCUGAGACACGAAAGCCAGGGGAGCGAACGGG